RNAcentral lists this ribosomal RNA (326 nucleotides) under uncultured eukaryote. RNAcentral's name for it is "partial 18S ribosomal RNA". It matches the Rfam family "Eukaryotic small subunit ribosomal RNA", at positions 1470 to 1796 of the family's 1831-position model. The record is from RNAcentral.
CCCUUAGAUGUUCUGGGCCGCACGCGCGCUACACUGAUGCAUUCAACAAGCCUAGCCUUGACCGAGAGGUCCGGGUAAUCUUUGAAACUGCAUCGUGAUGGGGCUAGAUUAUUGCAAUUAUUAAUCUUCAACGAGGAAUGCCUAGUAAGCGUGAUUCAUCAAAUCGCGUUGAUUACGUCCCUGCCCUUUGUACACACCGCCCGUCGCUCCUACCGAUUGAACGUUUUAGUGAGGUAUUUGGACUGGGCCUUGGGAGGUUUCGGCCUCCCUUGUUGCUCGGAAAGACUCCCAAACUUGAGCGUUUAGAGGAAGUAAAAGUCGUAACA